UCCUCUGUGGCGCAAUUGGCUAGCGCGUCUGACUGUUAUUCAGAGGUUGGAAGUUCAAGCCUUCCCGGAGGAG
Molecule: transfer RNA, 73 nt
Filed under: Exophiala sideris
Lineage: Eukaryota; Fungi; Ascomycota; Eurotiomycetes; Chaetothyriales; Herpotrichiellaceae
Description: tRNA-Asn (GTT) (tRNA-Asn-GTT-1-1)
Rfam family: tRNA
About the family: Transfer RNA (tRNA) molecules are approximately 80 nucleotides in length. Their secondary structure includes four short double-helical elements and three loops (D, anti-codon, and T loops).
Source: RNAcentral